Long non-coding RNA from Diabrotica virgifera virgifera (western corn rootworm), 1434 nucleotides. RefSeq lists it as uncharacterized. NCBI's taxonomy places the organism in Eukaryota, Metazoa, Arthropoda, Insecta, Coleoptera, Chrysomelidae. The record is from RefSeq and is a predicted model, not a curated record. The transcript is spliced from 3 exons.
AUAGUCCAGAAAUCAUCAAAACAUUAUUGAUGUGCAAUUCUGACUUAAGCCCUUUUUGCCAAACAUCAGAGAAUUACAAUCUGGUCAUAACUGACCAAUGAGCAAAUUUAAUUUAACCUAAAUUACUACUGUUCCUUAAAAUGAAGAGCUUACCCCAUAGCGUCUCUUAUCUAAUCUAACAAGAUCGUGCACUAUUCUAACAUACACAGGCACACAAGCACUACGCUCUGCUUUUCACUAUCACCUAUCACUCAAACUAGUUCAAAAGGCUUUGUCCUCUUCAAUCUUCUAGUUUGUCCAGUAGUAGAUAUCGAUGAGUGUGGAUUUCCUCAAUAUUCUCAUACUUAUGAAGUUGUUGUUGCUCAUUACUUCCUGCUAUCUUCUUGAUGACUAUAUUAUCCAGGUUCCAUUCCUAGGUCUUGAUAUUUGUUUAUAAAGUAAUAUCUUAUUAUGCAUCGACAAUGUUUAGUUUCUUCCAACUAGUCAAUACACUUUUUAUAGGUAUCUUUCUUUUGCCUUUCAUAGCCACAACAAGGCUAUAAUACGUUUCCUUCCUGGUUUUUUUGUAGACCACUUUCAGCUGAUUCUAAAAAAUUAAAAUGAAUGGUAAUUUUUCUAUUCUUUACAAUUAAAAAUCAAAAGAAAUAGGUACUACUAUUUACAGGUAAUAAUAUGCAUAAAUAAUUCGUUUCCUAAAGAAUACAGAAAAUUGAAAACGUUUUUAUAAUACUUACAUAAUUGUUUAAACAAAAGAGACCCAGCCAGAGCAAAACGCAAAACUAACAGACAGAACUGCAAAAAAAGCCACUAAUUUCCAUUUUCCCACCCCCUUAUCUUAUAUGCAUUUUCCAAUCAAAAUUUUUAGGUUGUCAUGAACAUGAAAGACUCAACCUCAACAAAUAAUAAUAAACAAAAAGCUCUACUUCCACUUCCCGCCAAAUGGACACAGAGAAGACAGCAAUUGCAAUUUUCAAGCAUAUCUAAAAUCUGCCAAAAUCUUUGUCACUCACUGAUUGACUUAAUGGCCAUUAGGGAAGAAAUAUUAGCCCACAGGUCCAGUAAUUGAAGAAAUAAUAAAUUCCACUGAUCACUGAUAGUAAGAAGUAUUAAAAGAAAAACAUUUAGUGAAUGAUGAAUUACGGGAUAUAUAUAAGGCCAAUAGUAGACAGGAUGUCUCCUAUGCAAAGGAACCAGAUAUUUUGGAUAAACAGGAAACAGAUAGCUUGUUGAAAAUCCUUGUAGGUGAGUGCAUUCUUGAUUAUAUAAAAGCCAUUCAGUGGGGCAGAACCCAUGAAAAAGAUGCCAUAGGCCCAUAGACAGCGCCGGAUAAAGGGGCGGGCGAGCCGGGCGACCGCCCGGGGCGCCGAAUUUCGAGGGGCGCCAAAUUUUGAAGGACGCCGAUACAAAAAUAUAUUUUUUUUCAUUCAUUAUUUU